UACGUAGGGUGCGAGCGUUGUCCGGAAUUAUUGGGCGUAAAGAGCUCGUAGGCGGUUUGUUGCGUCGACUGUGAAAACCUGGGGCUUAACUCUGGGCUUGCAGUCGAUACGGGCAGACUUGAGUUCGGUAGGGGAGACUGGAAUUCCUGGUGUAGCGGUGAAAUGCGCAGAUAUCGGGAGGAACACCAAUGGCGAAGGCAGCUCGCUGGGACGUUACUGACGCUGAGACGCGAAAGCGUGGGGAGCAAACAGG
RNAcentral lists this ribosomal RNA (253 nucleotides) under uncultured bacterium. Its description in RNAcentral is "partial 16S ribosomal RNA". It matches the Rfam family "Bacterial small subunit ribosomal RNA", at positions 524 to 776 of the family's 1533-position model. The record is from RNAcentral.